UUGUUCAAAAAAUGUCCUUCAUUAAUGAUAAUCAUUAAAACAUGAUGAGGCCCUACAAAAAUGAAUCACUACGCCUUGGGCAGAACGUAGGAUUUUCAUGCAAAAUGACAAAACAACAGAAAAUUACUCUGUCAGAAGAGUAACUUGAACCACUUCUUCAGCCGUCCAGUUGUUGAUAGACCCCCCUGGUGCACACGGGCGAACCCAGUUGUCCAGAUCACAAUCACUGUCACAGUCUUCACUACCGGUUGCGGAGACGUCGCCAUGAUUCAUCAGCCCAGCGCUGGUA
This 289-nucleotide long non-coding RNA is filed under the name Lathyrus oleraceus (garden pea). RNAcentral describes it as "Pisum sativum (pea) long non-coding RNA (PSAT_LNC016716)". Lineage: Eukaryota; Viridiplantae; Streptophyta; Magnoliopsida; Fabales; Fabaceae. The record is from RNAcentral.